Molecule: ribosomal RNA, 1191 nt
Filed under: Haemaphysalis qinghaiensis
Lineage: Eukaryota; Metazoa; Arthropoda; Arachnida; Ixodida; Ixodidae
Description: 16S ribosomal RNA
Source: RNAcentral
AUAAAAAAUUAUUAAUAGUUUUAUUUCAUAAACCUUUAUAAUUUUGAAAAGUAUUUUCAUUAAAUUGAACUGCAAAGGAAUAUUUUUUUAAACAAAAAGUAAUUUUAUGUACCUUUAGCAUAAGGGAUUUUUAAAAAAAAAUAAAAAUUUAUUUAUUUCGAAAUUAACUGAUCUAUUUUUUAUUAAAGCUUAUGUUUCAAAAUAAGCCUUAAAUAUUUAAUAGAAGUGAAAUUCUUACCAAAGUUAAAGAUAUCUAAUUUUUUUAAAAAAAAUAAAAUUUUUCUUAUAAUACAAAGUAUUUAUUAUAAUUAUAAGUAAUUAUGUAGGGGAUAAGCUUUAUAUACAAUUAUAUACAUUAAAUGUUUUUUCUAAUAAGAAUUAAAAUUUUUCCUAUAUUGUUAUAAACAAUUUCAAUUGUAAAAUAAAUAAAAUAAUUUUUUAUUAAAAUUUAAGAAUUUUUUUAUUUUUUAAAUAUGAAAAUAUUAGUAAAAACUGAAAUUUUUAAUGUAUUAAACUAAGUAAUUUUAUUUUAAAAAUAAUUUUUAGUAAUUCGGCAAAAAAUUUUUUUGACUGUUUAAUAAAAACAAUGUAUUUAGAUUUUUAAUUAAAUAUAAAUCCUGCUCAAUGAAUAGUUAAAUUGCUGUAGUAUUUUGACUAUACAAAGGUAUUGUAAUAAGGCUUUAAUUGAGUGCUAAAAGAAUGGACUUUCAAAAAAAGUCUAUCUUGAAUUUAAUAAUUGAAUUUAUUUUUAUUUGUGAAGAAACAAUAAUUUAAAUUAAGGACAAGAAGACCCUAAGAAUUUUUAAAUUCAAAAUAAAAGGAAUUUUUUUUUGAAUUUUUAAUUGGGGCGAUUAAAAAAUAUUAUUAACUUUUAAUUUCAAAAAAUGAUCCAUUAUUAAUGAUUUAAUGUAAAAAAUACUCUAGGGAUAACAGCGUAAUAAUUUUGGAUAGAUCUUAUAGAAAAAAUAGUUUGCGACCUCGAUGUUGGAUUAGGAUCCUUUUUUAAUGAAGAAGUUAAAAAAAGAAGUUUGUUCAACUUUUGAAAUCCUACAUGAUCUGAGUUUAGACCGAUGUGAAUCAGGUUGGUUUCUAUCUUAAUUUUAAAAAAAAAUUUUAAUUAGUACGAAAGGAAUUUUAAAAUAUAAAUUUUAUAAACAAUACAUAACAGUUUUUGCAUCAAUUUUUGGAAUU